AAUUAUCAAUCUUUUAUUAGUCUUUUUAGACUGAUAGACGACUUGGAUGUGGGAGUUUGCUGGUUUCUCUUUUGAAAUGAGCUCUCCUCAAAUGCAUUAGCUGGGUAACAACAAAAUAACCUUGGUGUGAUAAUUAUCUAUGCCAUGUGUAUAUACUUGUGUAGCGCACCCGCUUAUUAGACAACUACUUUUUGACA
This 197-nucleotide unclassified non-coding RNA is filed under the name uncultured Agaricales. Its description in RNAcentral is "sequence contains ITS2". The record is from RNAcentral. Lineage: Eukaryota; Fungi; Basidiomycota; Agaricomycetes; Agaricales.